Molecule: long non-coding RNA, 444 nt
Organism: Fukomys damarensis (Damara mole-rat)
Lineage: Eukaryota; Metazoa; Chordata; Mammalia; Rodentia; Bathyergidae
Exons: 4
Source: RefSeq, a predicted model, not a curated record
GAAGACUGGCAGCUCCAGAAACUUAAAUGGAGCUUCAAGUCAGUGUGCAUCUGCCUUCCAGGACCCUACAGUGUGGCAAAAUCCAUUUCAUCCUCCUUACUACCCUGUGAAGUGAGCAUUCUUAUGUUCAUCUUUCAGAAGAAAUCCUGAGCUCUAUGAGGUAAAAGGAAUUUGACGGAGACCACACCGCUAGUAAUUAACAGGGAAGAAUAAUACUGGAGGCAUUCCUUAUAAUUUAAAAAAUGACUCAUACAUCAGACCAAUCAGAGCAUUCAUGGAACUGCUUGCAAUGCCAUGACUCCAAAGUGAUGAAGGGACCUAAAGAACAAAAAUGGCCUGAAUAGAAUGGAAAUCUAGGAUCCAGCCAGGAGCAGAAAUUACAUGAAUUAUUCGGACGGAGAGAAUUUAAUGCAAAGUUGUGCGCUAGAGAAGAGGCAAGGAGAG